UGCGAACGCUGGCGGCGUGCUUAACACAUGCAAGUCGAGCGAAGGUGUUUCAAGGGUAACCUUGAGAUACACUUAGCGGCGGACGGGUGAGUAAUACGUGGAUAACUUACCUCUAGGCCUGGGAUAACCCCGGGAAACUGGGGCUAAUACCUGAUAAGACCACAUUGUCUACGGACAAAGGGGUAAAAGGUGGCUGUGCAAACAGCUAUCGCCAAAAGAUAGGUUCACGUCCCAUCAGGCAGUUGGUGAGGUAAUGGCUCACCAAACCAAAGACGGGUAGCCGGCCUUGGCGGGUGAACGGCCACACGGGGACUGAGGCACGGGCCCCGACUCCUACGGGAGGCAGCAGUGGGGAAUAUUGGGCAAUGGGCGCAAGCCUGACCCAGCGACGUCGCGUUGGGGAAGAAGGGCCUUCGGGUUGU
Molecule: ribosomal RNA, 422 nt
Filed under: uncultured bacterium
Lineage: Bacteria
Description: bacterial SSU rRNA
Rfam family: Bacterial small subunit ribosomal RNA
Source: RNAcentral